CCUACGGGAGGCAGCAGUGGGGAAUAUUGGACAAUGGGCGAAAGCCUGAUCCAGCCAUGCCGCGUGAGUGAAGAAGGCCUUCGGGUUGUAAAGCUCUUUCAGACGGAAAGAAAUCUUCUGGGCUAAUACCCCGGGAGGAUGACGGUACCGUAAGAAGAAGCACCGGCUAACUACGUGCCAGCAGCCGCGGUAAU
Molecule: ribosomal RNA, 194 nt
Filed under: uncultured bacterium
Lineage: Bacteria
Description: partial 16S ribosomal RNA
Rfam family: Bacterial small subunit ribosomal RNA
Source: RNAcentral